GCCUGGCUAGCUCAGUCGGUAGAGCAUGAGACUCAUAAUCUCGUGGUUUCGAGCCCCACUUUUGGCG
Molecule: non-coding RNA, 67 nt
Organism: Danionella cerebrum
Lineage: Eukaryota; Metazoa; Chordata; Actinopteri; Cypriniformes; Danionidae
Source: the annotation of a GenBank genome assembly